CUUGACACAUGCUAAUCGAACGACUAAUUAGUUUAAUUAUUAUUUAAUAAUAAGUAGUAGUGGUGUACAGGUGAGUAUAUGAUAAAUUGGCUACCUUAAACUAAGGGCAAAAUCCCUUAUAAUAAAAAAAAGGUAAUUAAAAAUUCCGGUUUAAGAUGUAAAUUUUUAUCUCGGUGGAGUAGUGGGAGAGGUAAUGAAUUUUUCUAGCAGUAACCGUAGUCGUAACUGGAAAGUUGAUCGACCACAUUGGGUCUGAAAAAAACCCAAUGCUUUUAUGUACAGCAGUGAGGGAUAUUGGUCAAUGGCCGCAAGGCUGAACCAGUAACUUGGAAGAAUGUAACUGUAUUUGUAUAAAUACAAUAGCGAUUAAUUCGCAUAAAAUUCUAAAUAGAUUGUAUAUAAUGACAUAAUCUAUUUAUAAGUCUUGACCAAACUACGUUGCCAGCAGUCGCGGUAAUACGUAGAAGGCUAGUGUUAGUUAUCUUUAUUGGGUUUAAAGGGUAUGUAGACGGUAAAUUAAACUUUAAAAAAGUACUUUUUUACUAGAGUUAUAUGUGAGAAGGAAGAAUUCUUGGAGUAGAGAUAGAAUUUGUUGAUACCAAGAGGACUGUCAACGGCGAAGGCGUCNUUCUAUGUAAUAACUGACGUUGAGAGACGAAGGCUUGGGUAGCAAACAGGAUUAGAUACCCUAAUAGUCCAAGCAGACAAUGAUGAAUGUCAUACAUUAGAUAAUUUUAAUGUAUAAACGAAAGUGUAAGCAUUCCACCUCAAGAGUACUAUGGCAACAUAUAAACUGAAAUCAUUAGACCGUUUCUGAAACCAGUAGUGAAGUAUGUUAUUUAAUUCGAUGAUCCGCGAAAAACCUUACCACAGCUUGUAUAGCAGUUAUAAAAAAUUGUUACAAGCGCUGCAUGGCUGUCUUUAGUUAAUGUCGUGANAUCUGGUUAACUCCUUUAAUUAACGAAAACCCUCACUUUAUUUAUAUGUAUAAAGUGGUUCGCUACUACAUUGGACUUGAUAAUAGGGAUUAAGACAAGUCAUUAUGGCCUAAAUGCUGUGGGCUAUAGACGUGCCACAUACGCCUUUACAAAGGGAUGCUAUAUUGUGAAAUGGAGCUAAUCCCCCAAAAAGGAAAUAUUAUGGAUUGUAGUCUGUAACUCCACUACAUGAAAAAGGAAUUACUAGUAAUCGUGAAUCACCAUCGUCACGGUGAAUUUUUUCUCAGUUAGGUACUAACUACUCGUCAGGCGCUGAAAGAAAAAAAUGCAGUAAGUUUGACUUCUUCUGUAUUUUAUUAUAUAUAAAUAGGUNUAUAAAAAUACAGGAAAGUUUUCGUAUGCAAAACUUUGAUUGGUGUUAAGUC
RNAcentral lists this ribosomal RNA (1363 nucleotides) under Penicillium glabrum. RNAcentral describes it as "SSU rRNA". It matches the Rfam family "Bacterial small subunit ribosomal RNA". The record is from RNAcentral. Lineage: Eukaryota; Fungi; Ascomycota; Eurotiomycetes; Eurotiales; Aspergillaceae.